AGAGUUUGAUCCUGGCUCAGGACGAACGCUGGCGGCGUGCCUAAUACAUGCAAGUCGAGCGAGCGGAACUAACAGAUUUACUUCGGUAAUGACGUUAGGAAAGCGAGCGGCGGAUGGGUGAGUAACACGUGGGGAACCUGCCCCAUAGUCUGGGAUAACAUUUGGAAACAAAUGCUAAUACCGUAUAACCAUGAUGACCGCAUGGUCAUUAUGUAAAAGGUGGUUUUGCUAUCGCUUUUGGAUGGACCCGCGGCGUAUUAACUAGUUGGUAGGGUAACGGCCUACCAAGGUGAUGAUACGUAGCCGAGUUGAGAGACUGAUCGGCCACAAUGGGACUGAGACACGGCCCAUACUCCUACGGGAGGCAGCAGUAGGGAAUCUUCCACAAUGGGCGCAAGCCUGAUGGAGCAACGCCGCGUGAAUGAAGAAGGUCUUCGGAUCGUAAAAUUCUGUUGUUAGAGAAGAAUAUGAGUAAUAGUAACUGAUUAUUCACUGACGGUAUCUAACCAGCAAGUCACGGCUAACUACGUGCCAGCAGCCGCGGUAAUACGUAGGUGGCAAGCGUUGUCCGG
This 572-nucleotide ribosomal RNA is filed under the name uncultured bacterium. RNAcentral's name for it is "bacterial SSU rRNA". It matches the Rfam family "Bacterial small subunit ribosomal RNA", at positions 8 to 548 of the family's 1533-position model. The record is from RNAcentral.